GUGGGGGCAGCACCCCCAGACCAGCACAGAGCAGGGUCGGUGGUGCUGCCCUUCCUUCCAGGGCUGGGCGCUUUGAUGCCUUGUACAGCGUGGAUGCUAUCCUGGGACUUCCCCCAGAAAUACAUCCCCCAAAAAUACAUCCCCCAGAAAUACAUCCCCCAAAACUCCUUUGUCCCACCCAUUCGUAUUCCUAUUCCUAUUCCUAUUCCUAUUCCUAUUCCUAUUCCUAUUCCUAUUCCAUCUCCUAUUCCUAUUCACCCUUACCGAAAGAGCAAGAGCACAUUUCCUGGAAUAACCGGACAAUGCAAGUGGGGAACAGGAAAUAAUUCUGCACCUUUGCUAUGCCACAAGACACCUCCGAGCCCAAGGUCUUCUUCGCAGGACUCGGAAGGACGGGGUCAGGUCCCCAGCAGGACCCUGCCCCAAGGCAGAGCAAGCCCUCCCGGUGAGCCUGCCUGAUGCUGGAAUGCAGUCCCCGGCCUGCCCGGUCCUUACAGAGCUCAGCCCUCACUCGCCUCGUCCCAGACAGUGCCAAUCAAGAGGAUUUUUGACUUCAGCCCGAGCAUGGAUGUAAUUCAUUCCCAAUGAGCUGACUCCUCACCGCAUACAUGUAUCAUCCAGGCUCAAAUCAAAGCAAGGGCAGGGCAGCGGCUGGCCAGUCAGUCUCUGGGGGGCUACUGUGUUAUUUUGAAGAUAAAUCAGCCUAUUUGUCCUUUCCCUCUUUGACCUAACGUUAGUUGCUCUCCCCACUCCUCCCCAUCUCUCCCUAUCCCUGUCAUUACUGCCUCAAACGUCCAAGAGGGGAUUUCUCCUGCCCUGGAGAACACAGACAGAUGUCUUCUCGUGGCUAAACGUCAGCCUCCUGCCCGGUCCCUGAUGCUGCUCACAGGGCCUGGAGCCAGCAACAUCAAGGAUUUACCCCACACUUUCCUGAGCCCGGCCGUUUGCUGAGCCCCUGCCAGCAGCAGCCCUGGUUUCCCUCACAGGUUUGGGGUUAUUUGGGAGGGGUGCCCCAUGCCACGAUGCACUGACUGCCUUCAGCUGCUCUGGGCUGGG
RNAcentral lists this long non-coding RNA (1056 nucleotides) under Anas platyrhynchos platyrhynchos (common mallard). RNAcentral's name for it is "lncRNA (ENSAPLG00000021601.1)". Lineage: Eukaryota; Metazoa; Chordata; Aves; Anseriformes; Anatidae. The record is from RNAcentral.